ACCACGACUCUCGACAAUGGAUAUCUCGGCUCUCGUUUCGAUGAAGAACGUAGCGAAAUGCGAUACUUUGUGUGAAUUGCAGAAUCGUUGCGCCCGAGGCCUAGGUCGAGGGCACGUCUGGCUGGGUGUGA
RNAcentral lists this ribosomal RNA (131 nucleotides) under Gnetum montanum. RNAcentral's name for it is "5.8S ribosomal RNA". It matches the Rfam family "5.8S ribosomal RNA". From Rfam's summary of the family: 5.8S ribosomal RNA (5.8S rRNA) is a component of the large subunit of the eukaryotic ribosome. Lineage: Eukaryota; Viridiplantae; Streptophyta; Gnetopsida; Gnetales; Gnetaceae. The record is from RNAcentral.